UGAUGCGUAGCUCAAUUGACAGAGCGCUUGCCUGAUAAUCAAGAGGUUGCCGGUUUGAGUCCGGUCGCGUCAA
This 73-nucleotide transfer RNA is filed under the name Enterococcus avium. Its description in RNAcentral is "tRNA-Ile". It matches the Rfam family "tRNA". From Rfam's summary of the family: Transfer RNA (tRNA) molecules are approximately 80 nucleotides in length. Their secondary structure includes four short double-helical elements and three loops (D, anti-codon, and T loops). RNAcentral also lists the same sequence under 1 other name. Lineage: Bacteria; Bacillati; Bacillota; Bacilli; Lactobacillales; Enterococcaceae. The record is from RNAcentral.